CGUCAUACCGAUCUCAGGCUUGAAUCGCAGAGAUCACAAAACGCCCCGGCGCUGUAGGAUGUGGCUGCGGUUGAUUAGGUAGACGGUGGGGUAACAGCCCACCGUGCCCAUAAUCAGUACAGGUUGUGAGAGCAAGAACCUGGAGACGGAAUCUGAGACAAGAUUCCGGGCCCUACGGGGCGCAGCAGGCGCGAAACCUUUACACUGCACGCACGUGCGAUAAGGGGACUCCGAGUGCGAGGGCAUAUCGUCCUCGCUUUCGUGUACCGUAGGGUGGUACACCAACAAGGGCUGGGCAAGACCGGUGCCAGCCGCCGCGGUAAUACCGGCAGCCCGAGUGAUGACCGAUCUUAUUGGGCCUAAAGCGUCCGUAGCUGGCUGCGCAAGUCCGUCGGGAAAUCCACUCGCCCAACGAGUGGGCGUCCGACGGAAACUGCAUAGCUUGGGACCGGAAGGCUCGAAGGGUACGUGCGGGGUAGGAGUGAAAUCCCAUAAUCCCGCACGGACCACCGAUGGCGAAAGCACUUCGAGAAAACGGAUCCGACAGUGAGGGACGAAAGCCAGGGUCUCCAACCGGAUUAGAUACCCGGGUAGUCCUGGCCGUAAACAAUGUUCGCUAGGUAUGACACAGACUACGUGUCUCUGUUGUGCCGUAGGGAAGCCGAGAAGCGAACCGCCUGGGAAGUACGUCUGCAAGGAUGAAACUUAAAGGAAUUGGCGGGGGAGCACUACAACCGGAGGAGCCUGCGGUUUAAUUGGAUUC
This 763-nucleotide ribosomal RNA is filed under the name uncultured archaeon. Its description in RNAcentral is "bacterial SSU rRNA". It matches the Rfam family "Archaeal small subunit ribosomal RNA", at positions 152 to 913 of the family's 1478-position model. The record is from RNAcentral.